This 378-nucleotide long non-coding RNA is filed under the name Olea europaea (common olive). Its description in RNAcentral is "long non-coding RNA (OEUR_LNC003263)". Lineage: Eukaryota; Viridiplantae; Streptophyta; Magnoliopsida; Lamiales; Oleaceae. The record is from RNAcentral.
CAAUAGCAUCUUUGGGACAUUUGGUUUUUGUCAACCUAUAAUGAUCAAGUUCUUGCCACAAAUAUUUCAGUUGGUUGGCAUAUUCGGUAACUGUUUUACUUCCCUGUUUUACAGCAAUCAUCUUCACCUUGGCCUCAUAUACUUGAGCCACGUAUCUAGCUUUGGAGUGUGUCUGUUGAAUUGUUUCCCAAAUAUCCUUGGUAGUAGCGAAGAAUAUACAUGUAACUAAUCUCAGGAGUUAUAUAGUUCCACACCCACGUCAUAAUCAUGUAAUCCUCUUCAUCCCAAGCUUCAAAACGAGGAUCUCCUAGUUUCAGCCCCAUACCCAGGAGAUGGCUGAUCUUCCCUUUUUCUUUUAGCACCUUGCGAACAAGUUGA